Molecule: unclassified non-coding RNA, 223 nt
Filed under: plant metagenome
Description: partial contains small subunit ribosomal RNA, internal transcribed spacer 1, and 5.8S ribosomal RNA
Source: RNAcentral
UUUCCGUAGGUGAACCUGCGGAAGGAUCAUUAAAGAGACGUUGCCCUUCGGGGUCGACCUCCCACCCUAUGUUUAUCAUACCUCUGUUGCUUUGGCAGGCCCGUCCUCGGACCGUCGGCUCCGGCCGGCCCGUGCCUGCCAGGGAACCUAAAACUCUGUUUGUUAAUGCAGUCUGAGUACUAUAUAAUAGUUAAAACUUUCAACAACGGAUCUCUUGGUUCUG